This 249-nucleotide ribosomal RNA is filed under the name Chloroflexota bacterium. Its description in RNAcentral is "Chloroflexi bacterium partial 23S ribosomal RNA". It matches the Rfam family "Bacterial large subunit ribosomal RNA", at positions 2676 to 2925 of the family's 2925-position model. The record is from RNAcentral. Lineage: Bacteria; Bacillati; Chloroflexota.
UCCUAGUACGAGAGGACCGGAGUGGACGAGCCUAUGGUGUGCCUGUUGUCCUUCCAAGGGCAUCGCAGGGUAGCUAAGCUCGGCAGGGAUAAGCGCUGAAAGCAUAUAAGCGCGAAGCUCGCCCUAAGAUAAGGUUCCCCACCGGGUAACCGGGUAAGACCGCAGGGAGACUACCUGCUUGAUAGGGCGCACGUGGAAGGCCCGCGAGGGCUGCAGCGAAGCGCUACUAAUGGUCGAGGGCUUGACCUC